GGCCAGGUGGUGAAAUCGGUAUACACGCAAGACUUAAAAUCUUGUGGACGCAAGUCCGUGAGAGUUCAAAUCUCUCUCUGGCCACUA
RNAcentral lists this transfer RNA (87 nucleotides) under Candidatus Beckwithbacteria bacterium CG1_02_47_37. Its description in RNAcentral is "tRNA-Leu". It matches the Rfam family "tRNA". From Rfam's summary of the family: Transfer RNA (tRNA) molecules are approximately 80 nucleotides in length. Their secondary structure includes four short double-helical elements and three loops (D, anti-codon, and T loops). Further hydrogen bonds mediate the characteristic L-shaped molecular structure. tRNAs have two regions of fundamental functional importance: the anti-codon, which is responsible for specific mRNA codon recognition, and the 3' end, to which the tRNAs corresponding amino acid is attached (by aminoacyl-tRNA synthetases). tRNAs cope with the degeneracy of the genetic code in two manners: having more than one tRNA (with a specific anti-codon) for a particular amino acid; and 'wobble' base-pairing, i.e. permitting non-standard base-pairing at the 3rd anti-codon position. RNAcentral also lists the same sequence under 3 other names. Lineage: Bacteria; Candidatus Beckwithiibacteriota. The record is from RNAcentral.